This 463-nucleotide ribosomal RNA is filed under the name uncultured bacterium. RNAcentral's name for it is "partial 16S ribosomal RNA". It matches the Rfam family "Bacterial small subunit ribosomal RNA", at positions 28 to 507 of the family's 1533-position model. The record is from RNAcentral.
GAUGAACGCUGACAGAAUGCUUAACACAUGCAAGUCUUUGGCGAAGCUGUGCUUGCACAGCCUAGCCAAGGCGGACGGGUGAGUAACGCGUAAGGAACUUGCCCUGCAGUCAGGGAUAACAGACGGAAACGACUGAUAAGACCUGGUAAAGUCAGGCGGACUCAUGUCCAGCCUGAUGAAAGGAGAUGCUGCAGGAGAGCCUUGCGUCCUAUUAGCUUGUUGGUGGGGUAACGGCCCACCAAGGCGAUGAUAGGUAGCCGGCCUGAGAGGGUGGACGGCCACAAGGGGACUGAGAUACGGCCCUUACUCCUACGGGAGGCGGCAGUGGGGAAUAUUGGACAAUGGGGGCAACCCUGAUCCAGCAAUUCUGUGUGCACGAUGAAGGUUUUCGGAUUGUAAAGUGCUUUCAGCAGGGAAGAAAAAAAUGACGGUACCUGCAGAAGAAGCGACGGCUAAAUACGUG